RNAcentral lists this ribosomal RNA (370 nucleotides) under uncultured Acetobacteraceae bacterium. RNAcentral describes it as "bacterial SSU rRNA". It matches the Rfam family "Bacterial small subunit ribosomal RNA", at positions 28 to 412 of the family's 1533-position model. The record is from RNAcentral. Lineage: Bacteria; Pseudomonadati; Pseudomonadota; Alphaproteobacteria; Acetobacterales; Acetobacteraceae.
AGCGAACGCUGGCGGAAUGCCUAACGCAUGCAAGUCGCGCGGCCUCGGGCUUCGGCCUUGGGGCAGCGGCGGACGGGUGAGGAGCGCGUAGGAACGUGCCCAGGGGUGGGGGACAACGCUGGGAAACUGGCGCUAAUACCGCAUGGCUCCUUCGGGAGAAAGCCCUUCGGGGCGCCUUUGGAGCGGCCUGCGUCCGAUUAGCUUGUUGGCGGGGUAACGGCCCACCAAGGCGACGAUCGGUAGCUGGUCUGAGAGGAUGAUCAGCCACACUGGGACUGAGACACGGCCCAGACUCCUACGGGAGGCAGCAGUGGGGGAAUAUUGGACAAUGGGCGCAAGCCUGAUCCAGCAAUUCCGCGUGGGUGAAGAA